GACGAACGCUGGCGGCGUGCUUAACACAUGCAAGUCGAACGGAAAGACCCUGCUUUUGUGGGGUGCUCGAGUGGCGAACGGGUGAGUAACACGUGAGUAACCUGCCCUUGACUUUGGGAUAACUUCAGGAAACUGGGGCUAAUACCGGAUAGGAGCUCCUGCUGCAUGGUGGGGGUUGGAAAGUUUCGGCGGUUGGGGAUGGACUCGCGGCUUAUCAGCUUGUUGGUGGGGUAGUGGCUUACCAAGGCUUUGACGGGUAGCCGGCCUGAGAGGGUGACCGGCCACAUUGGGACUGAGAUACGGCCCAGACUCCUACGGGAGGCAGCAGUGGGGAAUAAUGCACAAUGGGCGGAAGCCUGAUGCAGCAACGCCGCGUGCGGGAUGACGGCCUUCGGGUUGUAAACCGCUUUCGCCUGUGACGAAGCGUGAGUGACGGUAAUGGGUAAAGAAGCACCGGCUAACUACGUG
This 468-nucleotide ribosomal RNA is filed under the name uncultured bacterium. RNAcentral describes it as "partial 16S ribosomal RNA". It matches the Rfam family "Bacterial small subunit ribosomal RNA", at positions 28 to 507 of the family's 1533-position model. The record is from RNAcentral.